This 1514-nucleotide ribosomal RNA is filed under the name Ligilactobacillus murinus. RNAcentral describes it as "Lactobacillus murinus 16S ribosomal RNA". It matches the Rfam family "Bacterial small subunit ribosomal RNA". Lineage: Bacteria; Bacillati; Bacillota; Bacilli; Lactobacillales; Lactobacillaceae. The record is from RNAcentral.
NUUAAAUUGAGAGUUUGAUCCUGGCUCAGGAUNAACGCUGGCGGCGUGCCUAAUACAUGCAAGUCGAACGAAACUUCUUUAUCACCGAGUGCUUGCACUCACCGAUAAAGAGUUAAGUGGCGAACGGGUGAGUAACACGUGGGCAACCUGCCUNAAAGAGGGGGAUAACACUUGGAAACAGGUGCUAAUACCGCAUAACCAUAGUUACCGCAUGGUAACUAUGUAAAAGGUGGCUAUGCUACCNCUUUUGGAUGGGCCCNCGGCGCAUUAGCUAGUUGGUGGGGUAAAGGCUUACCAAGGCAAUGAUGCGUAGCCGAACUGAGAGGUUGAUCGGCNNCAUUGGGACUGAGACNCGGCCNNAACUCCUACGGGAGGCAGCAGUAGGGAAUCUUCCACAAUGGGCGAAAGCCUNAUGGAGCAACGCCGCNUGGGUGAAGAAGGUCUUCGGAUCGUAAAACCNNGUUGUUAGAGAAGAAAGUGCGUGAGAGUAACUGUUCACGUUUCGACGGUAUCUAACCAGAAAGCCACGGCUAACUACGUGCCAGCAGCCGCGGUAAUACGUAGGUGGCNAGCGUUAUCCGGAUUUAUUGGGCGUAAAGGGAACGCAGGCGGUCUUUUAAGUCUGAUGUGAAAGNCUUCGGCUUAACCGGAGUAGUGCAUUGGAAACUGGGAGACUUGAGUGCAGAAGAGGAGAGUGGAACUCCAUGUGUAGCGGUGAAAUGCGUAGAUAUAUGGAAGAACACCAGUGGCGAAAGCGGCUCUCUGGUCUGUAACUGACGCUGAGGUUCGAAAGCGUGGGUAGCAAACAGGAUUAGAUACCCUGGUAGUCCACGCCGUAAACGAUGAAUGCUAAGUGUUGGAGGGUUUCCGCCCUUCAGUGCUGCAGCUAACGCAAUAAGCAUUCCGCCUGGGGAGUACGACCGCAAGGUNNNNNNNNNNNNNNNNNNNNNGGGNGCCNNCACAAGCGGUGGAGCAUGUGGUUUAAUUCGAANNAACGCGAAGAACCUUACCAGGUCUUGACAUCUUUUGACAAUCCUAGAGAUAGGACUUUCCCUUCGGGGACAAAAUGACAGGUGGUGCAUGGUUGUCGUCAGCUCGUGUCGUGAGAUGUUGGGUUAAGUCCNNCAACGAGCGCAACCCUUAUUGUUAGUUGCCAGCAUUAAGUUGGGCACUCUAGCAAGACUGCCGGUGACAAACCGGAGGAAGGUGGGGAUGACGUCAAAUCAUNAUGCCCCUUAUGACCUGGGCUACACACGUGCUACAAUGGACGGUACAACGAGUCGCAAGACCGCGAGGUUUAGCAAAUCUCUUAAAGCCGUUCUCAGUUCGGAUUGUAGGCUGCAACUCGCCUACAUGAAGUCGGAAUCGCUAGUAAUCGCGGAUCAGCAUGCCGCGGUGAAUACGUUCCCNGGCNUUGUACACACCGCCCGUCACACCAUGAGAGUUUGUAACACCCAAAGCCGGUGGGGUAACCUUUUGGAGCCAGCCGUCUAAGGUGGGACAGAUGAUNGGGG